RNAcentral lists this ribosomal RNA (429 nucleotides) under Bacteroidota bacterium. RNAcentral's name for it is "Bacteroidetes bacterium partial 16S ribosomal RNA". It matches the Rfam family "Bacterial small subunit ribosomal RNA", at positions 355 to 776 of the family's 1533-position model. The record is from RNAcentral. Lineage: Bacteria; Pseudomonadati; Bacteroidota.
UAGGGAAUCUUCCGCAAUGGACGCAAGUCUGACGGAGCAACGCCGCGUGAGUGAAGAAGGAUUUCGGUUCGUAAAACUCUGUUGUUAGAGAAGAACAGCGCAUAGAGUAACUGUUAUGCGUGUGACGGUAUCUAACCAGAAAGCCACGGCUAACUACGUGCCAGCAGCCGCGGUAAUACGUAGGUGGCAAGCGUUGUCCGGAUAUAUUGGGCGUAAAGCGAGCGCAGGCGGUCAAUUAAGUCUGAUGUGAAAGCCCCCGGCUCAACCGGGGAGGGUCAUUGGAAACUGGUUGACUUGAGUGCAGAAGAGGAGAGUGGAAUUCCAUGUGUAGCGGUGAAAUGCGUAGAUAUAUGGAGGAACACCAGUGGCGAAGGCGACUCUCUGGUCUGUAACUGACGCUGAGGCUCGAAAGCGUGGGUAGCAAACAGG